RNAcentral lists this ribosomal RNA (484 nucleotides) under uncultured bacterium. Its description in RNAcentral is "partial 16S ribosomal RNA". It matches the Rfam family "Bacterial small subunit ribosomal RNA", at positions 29 to 507 of the family's 1533-position model. The record is from RNAcentral.
AUUGAACGCUGGCGGAAUGCUUUACUCAUGCAAGUCGAGCGGCAGCACGGGGGCAACCCUGGUGGCGAGCGGCGAACGGGUGAGUAAUACAUCGGAACAUGCCCCGUCGUGGGGGAUAACACUUCGUAAGACGUGCUAAUACCGCAUACGUCCUGAGGGGGAAAGCGGGGGAUCGCAAGACCUCGCGCGAUCGGAGUGGCCGAUGUCAGAUUAGCUAGUUGGUGGGGUAAAGGCCUACCAAGGCAACGAUCUGUAGCUGGUCUGAGAGGAUGAUCAGCCACACUGGGACUGAGACACGGCCCAGACUCCUACGGGAGGCAGCAGUGGGGAAUUGUGGACAAUGGGGGCAACCCUGAUCCAGGCAUUCCGCGUGAGGGAAGAAGGCCUUCGGGUUGUAAAGCUCUUUCGGCAGGAACGAAACGGUGAGCUCUAACAUAGCUUGCUAAUGACGGUACCUGAAGAAGAAGCACGGGCUAACUACGUG